AGAGUUUGAUCAUGGCUCCGUGAACGCUAGCGACAGGCCUAACACAUGCAAGUCGAGCCUUAAACAUUUCAGCUUGCUGAAGAUGACGACCGGCGCACGGGUGAGUAACGCGUAUGCAACCUACCUGUAACAGGGAGAUAGCCCAGGGAAACUUGGAUUAAUACCCCAUAAUAUUUAUGAUUCGCAUGGAUUGAUUAUUAAACUUUCGGGGGUUAAAGAUGGGCAUGCGUGCCAUUAGAUAGUUGGUGAGGGAACGGCUUACCAAGUCUACGUUGGCUACGGGGUCUUAAAGGAUGGUCCCGCACACUGGUACUGAGACACGGACCAGACUCCUACGGGAGGCAGCAGUGAGGAAUAUUGGUCAAUGGACGCAAGUCUGAACCAGCCAUGCCGCGUGCAGGAAGACGGCCCUAUGGGUUGUAAACUGCUUUUUUACGGGAAUAAAGGUUUCUACGUGUAGAGAUUUGAAGGUACCGUACGAAUAAGCAUCGGCUAACUCCGUGCCAGCAGCCGCGGUAAUACGGAGGAUGCAAGCGUUAUCCGGAUUUAUUAGGUUUAAAGGGUGCGUAGGCUGAAAAUUAAGUCAGUGGUGAAAUCUUGUAGCUUAACUACAAAACUGCCAUUGAUACUGGUUUUCUUGAGUAUAGUUGAGGUAAAUGCAUAGAUAUUACACAGAACACCAAUUGCGAAGGCAGCUUACUAAACUAUAACUGACGCUGAUGCACGAAAGCGUGGGUAGCGAACAGGAUUAGAUACCCUGGUAGUCCACCCGUAAACGAUGAUUACUCGUUGCAUGCAAUACACCGUAUGUGACUUAGCGAAAGCAUUAAGUAAUCCACCUGGGGAGUACGUUGGCAACAAUGAAACUCAAAGGAAUUGACGGGGGCCCGCACAAGCGGAGGAACAUGUGGUUUAAUUCGAUGAUACGCGAGGAACCUUACCUGGACUUAAAUGUAGCGUGACUUUCCCUGAAAGGGGAUUUCUCUUCGGAGCAAGUUACAAGGUGCUGCAUGGCUGUCGUCAGCUCGUGCCGUGAGGUGUCGGGUUAAGUCCCAUAACGAGCGCAACCCCUAUUGUUAGUUGCUAACAGGUCAAGCUGAGGACUCUAGCGAGACUGCCACCGUAAGGUGUGAGGAAGGUGGGGAUGACGUCAAGUCAGCACGGCCCUUACGUCCAGGGCUACACACGUGUUACAAUGGUCGGUACAGAGAGCAGCUACUUGGUGACAAGAUGCGAAUCUUUAAAAGCCGGUCUAGUUCGGAUCGAAGUCUGCAACUCGACUUCGUGAAGUUGGAUUCGCUAGUAAUCGCAUAUCAGCCACGAUGCGGUGAAUACGUUCCCGGGCCUUGUACACACCGCCCGUCAAGCCAUGGAAGCUGGGGGUACCUGAAGUCCGUAACCGCAAGGAUCGGCCUAGGGUAAAACUGGUGACUGGGGCUAAGUCUUAACAGAGGUAACC
Molecule: ribosomal RNA, 1459 nt
Filed under: uncultured prokaryote
Description: partial 16S ribosomal RNA
Rfam family: Bacterial small subunit ribosomal RNA
Source: RNAcentral